This 466-nucleotide ribosomal RNA is filed under the name uncultured bacterium. Its description in RNAcentral is "partial 16S ribosomal RNA". It matches the Rfam family "Bacterial small subunit ribosomal RNA", at positions 339 to 795 of the family's 1533-position model. The record is from RNAcentral.
CUACGGGCCGCUCCAGUGAGGAAUUUUGCGCAAUGGGGGAAACCCUGACGCAGCAACGCCGCGUGAGUGAAGAGGGCCUUUGGGUCGUAAAGCUCUGUCAAUGGGGAAGAAGUUAUUAUGCUUUAAUAGAGUAUAGUAUUGACGGUACCCAUGAAGGAAACAUCGGCUAACUCCGUGCCAGCAGCCGCGGGUAAUACGGGGGAUGCAAGCGUUAUUCGGAAUUAUUGGGCGUAAAGGGCACGCAGGCGGUCCAUUCAGUCAGAUGUGAAAGCCCAGGGCUCAACCCUGGAAGAGCAUUUGAAACAAAUGGACCUGAGUACGGUAGAGGAGAGGGGAAUUCCUGGUGUAGAGGUGAAAUUCGUAGAUAUCAGGAGGAACACCGGUGGCGAAGGCGCCUCUCCGGGCCUGUACUGACGCUGAGGUGCGAAGGCGUGGGUAGCGAACAGGAUUAGAUACCCCUGUAGUC